Molecule: ribosomal RNA, 1381 nt
Filed under: uncultured bacterium
Lineage: Bacteria
Description: bacterial SSU rRNA
Rfam family: Bacterial small subunit ribosomal RNA
Source: RNAcentral
CCUGGCUCCCGUUGAACGCUAGCUACAGGCUUAACACAUGCAAGUCGAGGGGCAGCAUGGUCUUAGCUUGCUAAGACUGAUGGCGACCGGCGCACGGGUGAGUAACACGUAUCCAACCUGCCGUCUACUCUUGGACAGCCUUCUGAAAGGAAGAUUAAUACAAGAUGGCAUCAUGAGUCCGCAUGUUCACAUGAUUAAAGGUAUUCCGGUAGACGAUGGGGAUGCGUUCCAUUAGAUAGUAGGCGGGGUAACGGCCCACCUAGUCUUCGAUGGAUAGGGGUUCUGAGAGGAAGGUCCCCCACAUUGGAACUGAGACACGGUCCAAACUCCUACGGGAGGCAGCAGUGAGGAAUAUUGGUCAAUGGGCGAGAGCCUGAACCAGCCAAGUAGCGUGAAGGAUGACUGCCCUAUGGGUUGUAAACUUCUUUUAUAAAGGAAUAAAGUCGGGUAUGGAUACCCGUUUGCAUGUACUUUAUGAAUAAGGAUCGGCUAACUCCGUGCCAGCAGCCGCGGUAAUACGGAGGAUCCGAGCGUUAUCCGGAUUUAUUGGGUUUAAAGGGAGCGUAGAUGGAUGUUUAAGUCAGUUGUGAAAGUUUGCGGCUCAACCGUAAAAUUGCAGUUGAUACUGGAUAUCUUGAGUGCAGUUGAGGCAGGCGGAAUUCGUGGUGUAGCGGUGAAAUGCUUAGAUAUCACGAAGAACUCCGAUUGCGAAGGCAGCCUGCUAAGCUGCAACUGACAUUGAGGCUCGAAAGUGUGGGUAUCAAACAGGAUUAGAUACCCUGGUAGUCCACACGGUAAACGAUGAAUACUCGCUGUUUGCGAUAUACUGCAAGCGGCCAAGCGAAAGCGUUAAGUAUUCCACCUGGGGAGUACGCCGGCAACGGUGAAACUCAAAGGAAUUGACGGGGGCCCGCACAAGCGGAGGAACAUGUGGUUUAAUUCGAUGAUACGCGAGGAACCUUACCCGGGCUUAAAUUGCAGAUGAAUUACGGUGAAAGCCGUAAGCCGCAAGGCAUCUGUGAAGGUGCUGCAUGGUUGUCGUCAGCUCGUGCCGUGAGGUGUCGGCUUAAGUGCCAUAACGAGCGCAACCCUUGUUGUCAGUUACUAACAGGUUCCGCUGAGGACUCUGACAAGACUGCCAUCGUAAGAUGUGAGGAAGGUGGGGAUGACGUCAAAUCAGCACGGCCCUUACGUCCGGGGCUACACACGUGUUACAAUGGGGGGUACAGAGGGCCGCUACCACGCGAGUGGAUGCCAAUCCCCAAAACCUCUCUCAGUUCGGACUGGAGUCUGCAACCCGACUCCACGAAGCUGGAUUCGCUAGUAAUCGCGCAUCAGCCACGGCGCGGUGAAUACGUUCCCGGGCCUUGUACACACCGCC